RNAcentral lists this long non-coding RNA (857 nucleotides) under Homo sapiens (human). RNAcentral describes it as "non-protein coding LINC01094:2". The record is from RNAcentral. Lineage: Eukaryota; Metazoa; Chordata; Mammalia; Primates; Hominidae.
CUGGAUGGAGCAACAAGAGUCUGGGCUAUUAACACAGGUUUGAGUCAGGCUGACCGGAGCUGUAAAGCCCUUCUCGUUCUCACUGUGUGUUCUUUUCAGUUCUGUCUUCCUGAGGCUGCUGUUUCUGGGCAUGGCCAGGGGAUCUUCAGACUUUACAAACCAGUUGUGCAGAGCCAGGCAUUUCAAUAAGGAACAAAAUGCUGAGUAACAACAUGAAGUCAGAGUGUUGCUUGCCAAGAGCUGGGAGGCCUGGGUGGUUUCCCAAUCUUAAAGAAGCAGAAGGAUAUUAAAGUGAGCCUCCCAAAGGAAAACGUGGAUCUACUUACCAACGCAGAAAAUGAUACACACGGAUUCGAUUUAGGCACGCUACAUUCAAAUGACUUGGAAGAGCAGGUUCUCUGAGCCAGGAUACUAAAGUCCCUGUUUAGGAAAGAGCCACGUUGUAUGUUUACCCUACCACAAAGAUACAGUCAUGUGCCUGGGAAAGAUUGAUGCCAGCUCCAGAAAGGCAUCCGAAUGGUCUAAGUAAUGCCAUCCAUCUGUCAGUAAUAGAUUCAGAAAUGGGUAUGUGAUUCAAGUCUGGCCAAUGAGAUGUAUGCAGAAGAGUGCUGGGUAUUCUGGAAAAUUAUCCCUUGUCAUUCAGAGAUCCACAGGAAUCCAGCCUUUUGCUCCUUGAAUGGGAUAAGGAAGCACAUAAUCCCAGUUGCUCUUCCAGUCAUCCCAGACCCACAGCCCUGCUUUAGCCAUCCUAUAGCCAUCAUAUAUUCACAAGGGGAGAGCAACUGAGGACAACACUGUGGAUCCUUGUGACAUAACCAAGCCAGUGAACCAAUCAAUACAUUUAUUUAUUGUUUGAG